GUUGAACUCUCAAGAGCUGAAUCCCAAGACUUUGAUCCAGAUGACGAAAAUGGUUCGAGCCAUAAAAAAGGAGAAUUUGAUGAUUCUGAUGCAAUACCUGAUUUUUCAAAGCCAGGACAUGCAGCUUCAGAGGGAAUUGAUUACUCAAGGAAUGCCUUGGGAUUUGAAAAGAUCCCUCCCAUUGACAACUUUACCUCAGAAUCAGAAGAUGAAGGCAUGGCAAGGACAUUUUCUACUUGUAGUUCAGAUUCUGAUGUAUCCAUUUCAGCUGAGAAGAAACUGUCUUUGGAUAUAUUGAGACAGAAUCAAGCUUUGGGUGAUGAAUUAGCCAUUGACAUAGUUAAUACUGGUAGGAAGAAGGAAAAGGAGGAGACACAAUGGCCAAAGCCCCAUGAUCACUUGAGCUCUGAUAUUGGUUUGAGCUUAACUACAACCGAAGACCAAUACAUUGGACAGAAUGAAGUAAUCAAUGAGGACGAAAGCAAGUUUGCCUAUCAAUCGUCAAAGCUUUCAAACACUCAGAGCCUAAAUUUUGAACAGCAAUUACAUGCACAGCAUUCACAUCUAAACAAAAAGUGGGUGUCAAUGAGGACUAGAAGACAGCAUAGGAUUUGAUUUUUUUUAAUUAGUUGUGAAAUUUUGCUUCUUCAUGCUAAUCUCUUUAUUUUUUUCCCAAAUAAAUUUUUUAUGGUAUUAAAUUUUAAUUAAAUUAUUAUUUCAUACUGGAAAUAAAUAUCAAAGAAUUUGGAUAAUUAGUUGUUAUUGUUGUGCUUUUUCUUUUUUAAAAUGACUAUAUAAUUUCUUUUACAUUCAUAAUUAAAAAGUAAAAAAAAAAUUCAUCUAAAUAAUAAAUUUUGCAAAUGUAUUGUAUACAGUUCUUAAUGCCUAUGACGCCACAUGUCAUUUUCUUAUUUCUUUUUUGUUUUUUCUUUUAAAAGAUUUUAUUUUUCAUGUGUGAGAUUCACUUAUAUUAAACUUUUUUUUUGUCUUUUUUUAUCCUUUUUAACUUUUUCUUUUUAAAAAAAUUAAUAAACAUUUUAUAAUUAUAAAAAAUAUAUUUUAAAGAUUUUAUUUUUUUGUGUGGAUCCACUUAUAUUAAACUUUCUUGUUUUGCGUUUUUUUUACUGGUUUUACCUUUUUCCAUUUUUAAAAAAUAUUAAAAAAUAUAUAUUUUUAAAGAAAAUUUUCAUGUGUAGAAUUCACUUAUAUCAAUUUUUUUACCUUUAUAAAAUUUUCUCUUUUUAAAAAAUAUUUAAUAAAGAUUUUCUUGAAAUUUUAAAAAAUUAUAAAAAAUAUUUUUAUGUGUGGAACCUAUUUAUACCAAAAUUUCUUUGUUGCUUUUGCUUUUUUAUUUUUUUAAUGUUUUCCUUUUUAAAAAAAUUAAUAAAUAUUUUCUAAAAUUUAAAAAAAAAUAUUUUUAAAGAUUUUAUUUUACAUGCGGAAUCACUUAUAUCAAUUUUCUUUUUUUUGAACUUUUUCAUCUUUUUCUUUUCUUAGAAAAUACUUAAUAAUAUUUUUAAAUUAUAAAAAAAUAUUUUUACAGAUUUUAUUUUUCAUGUGUAGAACCUAUUUAUAUCAAUUUUUUUUUUUUUGCUUUUCGUUUUUAAUUUUCAACUUUUUAUUUUUUUGAAAAAAUAUUUAAUAAAAAUUUUCUUUAAAAUUUAUUUUUUAAACCAACUUGAUACUAAUGGUAUGUCACCCUUUUUUUUUUCUAUUUUUUUCUUUUUAUAUAUUUAAUAAUUUUUUUUAAUUUUAUUUUUUAGUCCCACUUGAUAUUAAAAUUAUUAUGCAUGUUAAGUCCUUUUUUUUUUUUUUUUUCGCUUUUGCUUUUUAUUAUUUUUUUGCUAUCUAUUUUUCUUUUUUUUAUAUAUAUAUAUUCAAUAUUUUAAAAAAAUAAUAUUAAAAUUUCUUUAAUCUUAGUCCAUCUCUUAUAUAAAUUUAAUUCAUUUUAAUUUUUUUUACACUUAUUAGAAGUCUUAGCGUACCAUCUUAUCUUUCUUUUUUUAUUUUUUCUUUUAACUUUUUAUAGAUUUUUUAUUUUUUGUUUUAUAUAAAUUUUGUAAUAAAAACAAUAUAAGUGUCCGUGUGACACCCCAAUUUGUUUUUCCUUUUUAACUUUUUUAUUAAAUAAAUUUUAUAAUAAAAUGAGCUUAUUCAUUGCAACGGUGGAGCUACUUAUCCAAUAAAUCCACACUCAAUUGGGGUGUCAACGAAAUAUCUCAAUGAGCUUUCUUUUCUUUUCUUUUUCCUUUCUCAUUUUUUGAUUCUUAUUUUUUUCUCAAUUGUUUCCUUUUCUAUUUUUUUCUCUUUAAUAAAAAUAAUUUUAUAAAAAUAUAUAUAUGAAUAUGUUAGUAUCCAAUUUAAGUCUUUUUACCUUUGGUUUCUUUUAUGUGUUUUUUAAUUAGAUAAAAUUUGCAAUGUGAGAUACCGAUUGAUAAAGAUGUCAAAACAAUUCAUAUUUUAUGGAUUUUGAUCGAUCUUAAUAUGAUAAAGAAGUAAUUUUUAAAGAUCAAGAUUUAAUUAUGAAUUUUUGAUAAAAAAAAAGGUGCGAUUGGGGGUUAUAAGAGUGUUUACAGUUCUUUGUUUUAACUUAUUUUUAAGUGUAUAUAAAAAUAUAUAUUUUAUUAUUUAUUUAGUUAUAUACAUAUAUAUAAAUUAUAUUAAUAAAGUAAUUCUUUUAAUCUUAAUUUAAGUUUUUUUUUUUUUUUUUAAGUUCGAUAUUAGAUGCCAAUACAGCAUCUUUUAUUUGCAUCCCCCCCUUUUUUCUUUAAACUCUUUUAGGUUUUUUUUGCAAAAUUUUUUUGUUUACCCUUUUCCCACUUUUUACACUUUUUGUUUUUUUUUUUUAGAUUAAUUUUAUGAGAAAAGUGGGUCAAUUAAGGUUUACACAUUUAAUCCCCGUUUGUUUUAGCUUUUCUUUUAUUUUUGAAUUUGUUAAAUUUUGCAAUAAAAACAAUGAAUAGAUAAAACAAAAAAAAUUUUACUUACAAUUAGAUCAAACAAUUCAAAAUACAACACAAGUUAAUAAUUUAGUAAAAAAUAUGAGUUUAAUAUAAACAAAAAAUAUAUUUUGUAUAUUUAUAUUGACAUAAUAUAAAUAUAUAAAUUUGUACUAUUUUACAUAAUAUAAAUAUACGAAUUAUUAGAUUUAUUCAUGACAACACAUGAAUACCUUUUUAGUACAAUAUAGAUUGUAAAUUAUGUUGGUUCCUCAUCUUAUCUAAGUUUUGCCAUUUUUACUGCCUUCUUUUUUAUCUAUUUUUAUAAUCUAACACUUUUUUGCUUUUUUUUUUUUUACUUUUGCACAUGACAAAAAAAAAAAAAAAAGGAGAGACGAUGAUAUGGAAUUAAGAUUAAUGGAGAAAAGUGACAAAAGAAAGGAGGCGAAGAAGUUUAGAAGAAAGUUGGGUACACGUGUGCAUCCAGCUUUUCCUUUCUUUCUUUCUUUUUUGUUUGUUUUUUUUUUUAAUUAUUAUUUUUAGCUGUAUUAUAAAUUUCAUAAACUUUGGAGAUCAUGUGACAACAAUUCAAUUACCUUCUCUUUUUUUUUCCCUUCUUUCAUUGGAGACAAACAUUAGAAAAAAAAAAAAAAUGUUUGUACCUAGAAAUAUGGAACUUUUGUAUCGCUCUAUAGUGGUUAGAGUGUUUCACAAAAAAAAAAAUGUAUGACGUGGUUUAGAGUGACUUAAUACUCAAUGCUUGAUUAGAGGACAUCACUAACAAAAUGCAUGUACCAUGAGAUAUCUUGGUUUAGAUAAAUAUAUUUUAGAACUCAAUAAAUAUUAAUCAAAAUAUAAAUUAACACUAAAUUCAAACAUGCUAAGAGGUAUUUUGGAUGUGUGGAGUAAAGUAGGCAGCGGUUAAAAUUUUCUAUGAAAACAUGAAUAAAACAUAUAAGCAAUGCAUCUCUAAAACAUUGGAAUUGAUAUUAAAUAUUAAAGAAACUAAAAUAUUCAGUUUAAGGGAAAUAAAAAUAAAAAAGGAAAGUCAAAUAGCUAUAAAGGUUAUUGAAAAAACACUAAUCUAAGGCAAUAUGAAAAUUAAGAUAAAAACAUGCGAACACCUUAGUAUCCUAACAUUCCCAAUAACCAAAAUAUGUGAUUGAACUCCUCAACCUUGGUCACCAUGAACGAGCCCUUCUUCGGGUAAUUUUCACCUCUUUCUUUCCCUUAAUUUGGUUGGAUUGUUCUCUUAAUUUCUUGGGAAAUUAAAGUUGAAUCUGGUGGGGCAUUUUUGGACAGGUAGAGCAUGUGAUCAGAGGACAAAAUAUGGUGGAUGCAUUCACCAUAAUGGAAAGCUACUGUCAUCUGUUGAUAGAGAGAGUCACGCUCAUUCAAAAGAACAAGUAAGAUUGAUUAAACUAUUGGUUAUAGAUUUAAUGGAUAUAUUUUCAAACAAUGGACUUUUUUAAAUUUGCCUCUUUCUACAAUAGGGAAUGUCCUGAUGAACUGAAGGAGGCAACAUCAAGCUUGAUGUUUGCAUCAUCAAGAUGUGGAGAAUUCCCAGAGCUUCUUCACAUUCGUGGGGUCGUAUCAUCGACUUUUGGGAAAGAAUUUGUUGCUCGUGCCGUUGAAUUGCGCAACAAUUGCAGUGUGUAUCCUAAUGUAAGGAUAGUUCAGUCAAUGCUUGAAAUUAGAAGACCUUUUUAGGAACCCUGAAGCUUAGCUCUUUUGGUUGAGGCUAACAGGUUUGGGAUUCAAAUCCCAACAUCUGUAAACCCUUCUUAUAUCUGGGACUGUGGCCGGCCCUUUGUUAAAAAAACGACUUUAUUAGAACGUACAGUUAUCCUUACAGUUAACUGCCUCUGGCUGUUUGAAAGAUAAUACAGAAGCUUUCGACACAACGACCAAGCUUGGAAAACAAAUUGAAAGUGCUUAAGGAGAUUGCCUUCGAGAGGGGUAUCACCUUGCAUUUGGAGGCAGUGGUUGUAGAGGUGAGAAACUUGCAAUCGAAUGAAAACAACAAUCACCAACAAACAAAAGGUUUAAAUUUUGAUUCUGAAAUGACAAUAUUUGAUGGUUGUAGGAGAAACUGGAUGUCAAUGAGAAGCAGGAUGAACGCGUUGCUGAUAAAUCUGCAAAACUGGAUGAUCCUGAGCACAAAGAUACAGCCAAUGAUUUGCCAAUAGCAAUAAACCUAGAUGAAAAUUUGUGUGAGUCAAUAAAAGCAAGGAAAAAGUACAGAGAUGUAGCUGCAGCUGCUCUAGAGGCUUUUGAAUCAGCAGCUUAUGCAGCAGCAGCUGCAAGAGCAGCGGUUGAACUCUCAAGAGCUGAAUCCCAAGACUUUGAUCCAGAUGACGAAAUUGGUUCGAGCCAUAAAAAAGGAGAAUUUGAUGAUUCUGAUGCAAUACCUGAUUUUUCAAAGCCAGGACAUGCAGCUUCAGAGGGAAUUGAUUACUCAAAGAAUGCCUUGGGAUUUGAAAAGAUCCAUCCCAUUGACAACUUUACCUCAGAAUCAGAAGAUGAAGGCAUGGCAAGGACAUUUUCUACUUGUAGUUCAGAUUCUGAUGUAUCCAUUUCAGCUGAGAAGAAACUGUCUUUGGAUAUAUUGAGACAGAAUCAAGCUUUGGGUGAUGAAUUAGCCAUUGACAUAGUUAAUACUGGUAGGAAGAAGGAAAAGGAGGAGACACAAUGGCCAAAGCCCCAUGAUCACUUGAGCUCUGAUAUUGGUUUGAGCUUAACUACAACCGAAGACCAAUACAUUGGACAGAAUGAAGUAAUCAAUGAGGACGAAAGCAAGUUUGCCUAUCAAUCGUCAAAGCUUUCAAACACUCAGAGCCUAAAUUUUGAACAGCAGUUACAUGCACAGCAUUCACAUCUAAACAAAAAGUGGGUGUCAAUGAGGACUAGAAGACAGCAUAGGAUUUGAUUUUUUUUAAUUAGUUGUGAAAUUUUGCUUCUCCAUGCUAAUCUCUUUAUUUUUUUCCCAAAUAAAUUUUUUAUGGUAUUAAAUUUUAAUUAAAUUAUUAUUUCAUACUGGAAAUAAAUAUCAAAGAAUUUGGAU
RNAcentral lists this long non-coding RNA (6003 nucleotides) under Durio zibethinus. Its description in RNAcentral is "long non-coding RNA (DZIB_LNC002451)". The record is from RNAcentral. Lineage: Eukaryota; Viridiplantae; Streptophyta; Magnoliopsida; Malvales; Malvaceae.